CUCUCCUACUCAACUACUGAAGAAGCGCACGUGAACUUGGAGGUGGGAAGAAAUUCCAGUCGUGGGUUGCUCAGUUGGUGGGCAGAUUUCAAGGAUGGAGAACCCGCACUGCGUGUCUGGCUGGAGGCAGAGAGGAGAGGAAGCUCCCAGAGACCCUGUGCCUCAACACGGUGUGGGAAAAGAUUCUGUCCACCUCUUUUGGAGAUAGUCACUCACUGACCUGACGUUGGCCAAUCGUCCAAGCCAACUGGCCAGCAAGCCUCCUCCAAAUCCUCCUGAUUCUGCAACCGGAGCUCUGAGAUAGCAUGGCCGUGCCACCAGACCCAGCCUCUUUGCAAGAGUUUUAGCAGUCAAAUGUGAGUUCUCCUGCUUCCAUGGCAAGCCUCAAAAACCCCGAGCUAAGUGACCCAACCCUACUGGAAUAUUUUAAUGAAACAAUUUAAUAUUUAAAUAGAGGAUAUGAGACUAACCAUUUAACAUGUCUUUCUUAUCUUUUAAAAACUUAGAUAGCUACUUUGUCUCUGAAUUGGAACCUGGAUUUUAAGUUCAUGAUUGCUUUGGCAAUUCACCUAUAGCAGUGGUUCUAACAUUCCUAACGCUGUGACCCUUUAAUACACUUCCUCAUGUUGAGGUGACCUCUAGCUAUAAAAUUAUUUUUAUUGCUACUCCAUGACUGUAAUCUUGCUACUGUUACAAAUCAUAAUGUAAAUAUCUGCAAUUUCCAAUGGUCUUAGGAGACCCCUGUGAAAGGAUCACUAAACCCCCAAAGGUUGCCCAUCCAUAGAUUGGGAUCCACUGACCUAUAGUGUUGCAGGAUUUUCCCUGACAAAUCACAUUAGGGCAGUGGAAGGCUUGUGAUUGGACAGGAGAAAGGAGGUAGAGUGAGAAGUUGAGGAGACAGAGAGAGAGGUCUGAGGAGGAGAGGGAGAACCAGAAUGGAGGCUGUUGUGUUGUUAUCAAAAGGUUAGAAUAUUUGGGUUAAAGCUUUAUCAUCAUUCGGCUCUAAAUUAUUGCAUUGGCAUCUUGUAAAUUGUGUUAUUAUUGAUAUAUACAUCUGAUUAUCUAAUUGAGCAUUUAGAGUCUUGAUUCUUCCAGGUAAUAAGGUGUUGAGAUGACUAACCAGGGGUGUGUGGAACAUUGUGUGAAGGCGAGAGAAACUCGGGGGGCCCCCAUCUGAAAGAUGGCCCAGUGGGAGCCAUGUGGUCUCACAGGGCAGGUGAGUUGGCCGGGCCAAGAGACUGAGCGAUUGAGAUCACCUGAUGCAGGGGCUAGCUCUAGAUAUUUCUUGAAAUUUCUAGAUAUUUCUGCAUUUUUCCAAUGGUCUUAGAAGACCCUUGUGAAAGGAUUCCUAAGCCCCCAAAGGUUUGCUACCCAUAGAUUGGGAUCCACUGACCUAUAGGAUUACUUUUGUUGGGACACAUAAAAAUUUGCAUCAGUGCCUAGCAAUUGGAUGUUUAUGGAGUAUGGUAUGGUGAUAUGUGCAUAUUGUGUGUGCCAGCUAGCAGCUCUUAAAUCUAGAAAUCAAAGGAAAUGAGACUAUGAAUGUAAUCUAGUUACAUUUUAAAGAUCUCGAACUCAUUCAGUGAAAGACUCAGGAAGCGUGGUUGCGAAUUAAUUGGGCAGAAUUUUACAAAGAGCCCCUUGCUGUGACUCAUACCUGUUCACUGUACACAACAAAUUUGUUGGGACCCAAAAUUAGAGACCUGGAAUUAUUACAUGAGGCUGAGUGUAUGUUAUAGUAAAGCUGUCAGAUGCUUGAUGUCCUCUAUGUCAGCCUGUCUUUGCUUUAUAAUGAGCCCCUCAUCAAUGGCUCCUAUUUCUUUCCAUCUGUAAUGUGUGGGGACAGGCACUAGUAUGAAUAGGCAUAUGUGCAUGUAGCUAUGUGUACACUUAUGUGUCUAUGCAUGUCACCUCCUUAGCUGACAUUCCUUGGCUGCUGUCCAUCAACUAUUUUGAGACAGGUCUCAAAUUGACUGGAGCGUGGUAUGUAGGUAAGUAGGCUGAGCUAGUUUGCCACCAAGCCCCAGGGAUCCACCUGCCUUUGCCUUCCCGUUGUAUCCUAUGGAAGAGUCAAUGAAAUUUGUUCUCUGCAAGAAAAAGCCUUGCUACUCCAGAGUGUCUAUUUCUGGGAUGUUUCUUAGCUCCAGGUAAGGCUUCUGUCUACAGGAAAUCCCUUCUGACCAGACUUUAUCUUCCAUCCUCAGUUCAUUAAAAUACACGCAAUUCCUCCUUACUUCCUUGUUAUACUGCUGAUGUUCAUUUUAUUUCUGUUCUGUGGACCUAUGUGGGAAGUUGGUGAAGAACAAUACAAGGAUGGAGAAGCAAAGAGAGAUGUCGUUUUAGUCACCCAGAGCUACAUAAUUCAAAUCAAUCCCAAAUGGUAAAAGGAAGAAACAAGGGCUGAAUGGAAGGACCCAGUAAGUCCUCUUGGAAGAACAAAUGCACAGAAGGGAUAUUUCUAUACAGAAGCAUUCAUAAUCUACCCAGGCAUUCAGACAGAACCCUUGGCCAAGCAGACUAACUAUUCACCACAACAGAUGGCACGCAACAUGAAAAGGAGAAAAGGCUUUGGAUCCCUUCCAGAGUGAUAUGGAUCAUAUUUGACAGGGGAAGACCCUCUAAAGAUCUUGGCUACAGAAAAAAAUUCAAAAUAUUCAAACAGGACAGAAUUCAACACUGGCAAUAUUCGCUGGGCUUGGAGAGCAAGAUUAACAACUAGCAAUCUAUCAUCUUAUAAACUGGCAGUUCCACACAACUGACUCUUUCCCAUUAGCUUCUCCAACACGAGAGGUGCUCCACAGACGGGGAACAAUGCACAUCUCUUGCCAUUGUUAGCAGCUUUUCAUCUUGUUGCAGUGGAGGCUGGGAGAGGCUGAAGAGUUAAUUUUAAUAAGACCAAUCAGCUCAUCUUGACAAUGGAGGGGAAGGAAAGGGGACAGGUAGAUGACUGUAUGUUUUGACAUUGGACCAUUAACAUGCAAAUCACAUGCAAAAUC
RNAcentral lists this long non-coding RNA (2996 nucleotides) under Mus musculus (house mouse). Its description in RNAcentral is "predicted gene, 36101". Lineage: Eukaryota; Metazoa; Chordata; Mammalia; Rodentia; Muridae. The record is from RNAcentral.